CAGUAGCCGCGGGAAUACGUAGGUGGCAAGCGUUGUCCGGAAUUAUUGGGCGUAAAGCGCGCGCAGGUGGUUUAAUAAGUCUGAUGUGAAAGCCCCCGGCUCAACCGGGGAGGGUCAUUGGAAACUGGUUGACUUGAGUGCAGAAGAGGAGAGUGGAAUUCCAUGUGUAGCGGUGAAAUGCGUAGAUAUAUGGAGGAACACCAACGGCGAAAGCACUCUGCUAGGCCGACACUGACACUGAGAGAUGAAAGCUAGGGGAGCAAAUGGGAUUAGAGACCCGCGUAGUCCCUGUCUCUUAUAC
RNAcentral lists this ribosomal RNA (301 nucleotides) under uncultured bacterium. RNAcentral's name for it is "partial 16S ribosomal RNA". It matches the Rfam family "Bacterial small subunit ribosomal RNA", at positions 509 to 807 of the family's 1533-position model. The record is from RNAcentral.